AUUGAACGCUAGCGGGAUGCCUUACACAUGCAAGUCGAACGGCAGCACGGACUUCGGUCUGGUGGCGAGUGGCGAACGGGUGAGUAAUGUAUCGGAACGUGCCCAGUAGCGGGGGAUAACUACGCGAAAGCGUAGCUAAUACCGCAUACGCCCUACGGGGGAAAGCAGGGGAUCGCAAGACCUUGCACUAUUGGAGCGGCCGAUAUCGGAUUAGCUAGUUGGUGGGGUAACGGCUCACCAAGGCGACGAUCCGUAGCUGGUUUGAGAGGACGACCAGCCACACUGGGACUGAGACACGGCCCAGACUCCUACGGGAGGCAGCAGUGGGGAAUUUUGGACAAUGGGGGAAACCCUGAUCCAGCCAUCCCGCGUGUGCGAUGAAGGCCUUCGGGUUGUAAAGCACUUUUGGCAGGAAAGAAACGUCAUGGGUUAAUACCCCGUGAAACUGACGGUACCUGCAGAAUAAGCACGGCUAACUAC
Molecule: ribosomal RNA, 480 nt
Filed under: Achromobacter xylosoxidans
Lineage: Bacteria; Pseudomonadati; Pseudomonadota; Betaproteobacteria; Burkholderiales; Alcaligenaceae
Description: bacterial SSU rRNA
Rfam family: Bacterial small subunit ribosomal RNA
Source: RNAcentral